UGGACUACUGGGGUUUCUAAUCCUGUUUGCUCCCCACGCUUUCGCACCUCAGCGUCAGUAUCGAGCCAGUGAGCCGCCUUCGCCACUGGUGUUCCUCCGAAUAUCUACGAAUUUCACCUCUACACUCGGAAUUCCACUCACCUCUCUCGAACUCCAGACUGGAAGUUUUGAAGGCAGUUCCAAGGUUGAGCCCUGGGAUUUCACCUCCAACUUUCCAAUCCGCCUACGUGCGCUUUACGCCCAGUAAUUCCGAACAACGCUUGCACCCUCCGUAUUACCGCGGCGGCUGGCAC
RNAcentral lists this unclassified non-coding RNA (293 nucleotides) under uncultured fungus. RNAcentral describes it as "sequence contains ITS1". Lineage: Eukaryota; Fungi. The record is from RNAcentral.